AAAGUCGUAACAAGGUCUCCGUAGGUGAACCUGCGGAGGGAUCAUUACACAAUAUCAAGGCGGGCUGGACCCCUCCGCACUGCCUCACGGCAUGGGGCGGCGGGGGCUGGCCUUGCUGCCAUAUUCACCCGUGUCUUUUGCGUACUUUUCGUUUCCUGGGCGGGCACGCCCGCCCCCAGGACAACCCACCAACCUUUUUGCAAUAGCAGUCAGCGUCAGUAACAAAACGUAAUUAUUACAACUUUCAACAACGGAUCUCUUGGUUCUG
RNAcentral lists this unclassified non-coding RNA (268 nucleotides) under Ascomycota sp. Its description in RNAcentral is "partial contains small subunit ribosomal RNA, internal transcribed spacer 1, and 5.8S ribosomal RNA". The stretch from base 1 to 47 matches the Rfam family "Eukaryotic small subunit ribosomal RNA", at positions 1785 to 1831 of the family's 1831-position model. Lineage: Eukaryota; Fungi; Ascomycota. The record is from RNAcentral.